GUAGGUGAACCUGCGGAGGGAUCAUUACCGAGUGAGGGCCUCCGGGCUCGACCUCCAACCCUUUGUCGUUACAAACUUCGUUGCCUUGGGGGCGACCCGGCCUCCGCGUCGGGGCCCCCAGUGGAUCUCAUCAAACUCUGCGUCUUUGCGUCCGAGUCAUAAGUAAAUCAAUUAAAACUUUCAACAACGGAUCUCUUGGUUCUG
This 204-nucleotide unclassified non-coding RNA is filed under the name rhizosphere metagenome. RNAcentral describes it as "partial ribosomal RNA internal transcribed spacer region". The record is from RNAcentral.